RNAcentral lists this ribosomal RNA (781 nucleotides) under Dictyostelium sp. Its description in RNAcentral is "SSU rRNA". It matches the Rfam family "Eukaryotic small subunit ribosomal RNA", at positions 52 to 836 of the family's 1831-position model. The record is from RNAcentral. Lineage: Eukaryota; Evosea; Eumycetozoa; Dictyosteliales; Dictyosteliaceae.
UGCAUGUCUAAGUAUAAAUUCUUGUACGAUGAAACUGCAGACGGCUCAAUACAACAGUGAUAAACUAAUAGACUUUCGGGUUUUUAACCUUUUGGAUAACCGCAGUAAAUCGGGGCUAAUACAUACAAGCGAUGGGUGACUGGCAACGGAAGCUCAGCGAUUAUUAGCAUUACUACCAAUACCUUCGGGUCUUGUGGUGAAACCGAAUAAUAUUGCAGAUCGAGGAUUUAUCUUCGACAAGUCUACUGUGUCACUGCCCUAUCAACUUUCGAUGGUACGGUAUUGGCCUACCAUGGUUGUAACGGGUAACGGGGAAUUAGGGUUCGAUUCCGGAGAGGGAGCCUGAGAAAUGGCUACCACUUCUACGGAAGGCAGCAGGCGCGCAAAUUACUCAAUCCCAAUACGGGGAAGUAGUGACAAUAAAUAUCAAUACCUAUCCUUAACGGAGGGCAAUUGAAAUGAACACAAAUUAAAACUCUUAAUUAACACAAUUGGAGGGCAAGUCUGGUGCCAGCAGCCGCGGUAAUUCCAGCUCCAAUAGCAUAUACUAAAGUUGUUGCAGUUAAAAAGCUCGUAGUUGAAGUUAAAGGUUUACUGGGCUAAAGUUAUUUGCCACUCUGGUGGUUAAAUCAACUCCAGUAUUCCUUUUUUUAAUAGCUCUGCUUCUAGCAUCUUUGAUGUUAGUUGUUUGGGCAUUUCACUGUGAGAAAAUUGUGGUGUUUAAAGCAGGCGUCUCGCCUGAUCUUUUGCAGCAUGGUAUGAUGAAACAUGACAUUUUACG